RNAcentral lists this ribosomal RNA (595 nucleotides) under uncultured organism. Its description in RNAcentral is "bacterial SSU rRNA". It matches the Rfam family "Bacterial small subunit ribosomal RNA", at positions 823 to 1414 of the family's 1533-position model. The record is from RNAcentral.
UCGGGGGUAUCGUCCCCUCCGUUGCCGCAGUUUACGCACUAAGUUCCCCGCCUGGGGAUUAUGCUCACAAGGCUGAAACUCAAAGGAAUUGACGGGGCCCCGCACAACCGCUGGAGCAUCUGGUUUAAUUCGACGCAACGCGAAGAACCUUACCUGGGCUUGACAUGCUUGGGUCAGCGCUGGUAACAGCAUCUCUCCUUCGGGAGCCCUUCCAUAGGUGCUGCAUGGCUGUCGUCAGCUCGUCUCGUCAGAUUUUGGGUUAAGUCCCGCAACGUGAGCAUCCCUCGUUACUUAUUAAUAUCAGUUCGGCUGGGCACUCUAGUGAGACUGUCGGUGAUGACCGNGCCCAACGAUGAGCAUGAUGUUAAGUUAUCAUGGACCUUUCAGUCAAGGGCUACACACGUGCUACAUAUGGUCGGCACAUAGGGUCGUAUAUCCACGAGGUGGAGCUAAUCCCAUCAAGCCGGCAUCAGUUCGGAUUGGAGUCUGCUACCCGACUCCAUGAAGGCGGAAUCGCUAGUAGUCGCGGAUCAGCACACCGCGGUGAUAUGCUUCCCGGGGAUUGUCACACCGCCCGUCAUAUCACCCGAGUCGG